Molecule: ribosomal RNA, 314 nt
Filed under: uncultured bacterium
Lineage: Bacteria
Description: bacterial SSU rRNA
Rfam family: Bacterial small subunit ribosomal RNA
Source: RNAcentral
GACGAACGCUGGCGGCGCGCCUAACACAUGCAAGUCGAGGGGCAUCGGGAGGGAAGCUUGCUUCCCUUGCCGGCGACCGGCGCACGGGUGAGUAACGCGUAUCGAACCUGCCUCAUACCCGGGGAUAGCCUUGCGAAAGUAAGAUUAAUACCCGAUGGUUUCCUUUUAUCUCCUGAUAGAGGGAAUAAAGAAAUUCGGUAUGGGAUGGCGAUGCGUCUGAUUAGCUAGUUGGAGGGGUAACGGCCCACCAAGGCGACGAUCAGUAGCCGACCUGAGAGGGUGACCGGCCACAUUGGGACUGAGACACGGCCCAA